UCAGGGAAUAGUUUUACCAGCAGAUGUAAAGAUCACCCUUUUGGAGUGGGUAGCACUCAAGGUCAGAGGCAGCAAAUCCUCCUCUAAAAAUAGACUCCAGUGGCAAAGUUGGUAAGAUUUCUUUUGUCGUUCUGCCACACUUAACGGGACUCAGCUACCCAGAGCACCCACCUAAGGUUACAGUGCAAACGCUGCUCUCCAGACAGCAUGUGCAUUGGCUUCUGCAAGGAGAACUUUCCAGUUUAUAAAGCAGCUCUCUGCUUAGUCAUACUCAAAAAGGGAUAAUAUUACUCCAUUGCUCCCCUCUGUAUGUGCAUCGCUUCUUCUUCCUACCCACUUGGCAG
Long non-coding RNA from Neopsephotus bourkii (Bourke's parrot), 344 nucleotides. RefSeq lists it as uncharacterized. Lineage: Eukaryota; Metazoa; Chordata; Aves; Psittaciformes; Psittacidae. The transcript has 3 exons. The record is from RefSeq and is a predicted model, not a curated record.